GAUGAACGCUGACAGAAUGCUUAACACAUGCAAGUCUUUGGCGAAGCUGUGCUUGCACAGCCUAGCCAAGGCGGACGGGUGAGUAACGCGUAAGGGACUUGCCCUGCAGUCAGGGAUAACAGACGGAAACGACUGAUAAGACCUGGUAAAGUCAGGCGGACUCAUGUCCAGCCUGAUGAAAAGGAAUGCUGCAGGAGAGCCUUGCGUCCUAUUAGCUUGUUGGUGGGGUAACGGCCCACCAAGGCGAUGAUAGGUAGCCGGCCUGAGAGGGUGGACGGCCACAAGGGGACUGAGAUACGGCCCUUACUCCUACGGGAGGCAGCAGUGGGGAAUAUUGGACAAUGGGGGCAACCCUGAUCCAGCAAUUCUGUGUGCACGAUGAAGGUCUUCGGAUUGUAAAGUGCUUUCAGCAGGGAAGAAAAAAAGACGGUACCGCAGAAG
Molecule: ribosomal RNA, 441 nt
Filed under: Leptotrichia wadei
Lineage: Bacteria; Fusobacteriati; Fusobacteriota; Fusobacteriia; Fusobacteriales; Leptotrichiaceae
Description: bacterial SSU rRNA
Rfam family: Bacterial small subunit ribosomal RNA
Source: RNAcentral